GACGAACGCUGGCGGCGUGCUUAACACAUGCAAGUCGAACGGAAAGGCCCUUCGGGGUACUCGAGUGGCGAACGGGUGGGUAACACGUGGGUGAUCUGCCCUGCACUUUGUGAUAAGCCUGGGAAACUGUGGCUAAUACCGAAUAGGACCGCGCGCUUCCUUGUGGGUGGUGGAAAGCUUUUGUGGUGUGUGAUGGGCCCGCGGCCUAUCAGCUUGUUUGUGGGGUAAUGGCCGACCAAGGCGACGAAGGGUAGCCGGCCUGAGAGGGUGGCCGGCCACAAUGGGACUGAGAUACGGAGCAGACUCCUAUGGGAGGCAGCAGUGGGGAAUAUUGCCCAAUGGGCGCAAGCCUGAUGCAGAGACGCCGCGUGAGGGAUGACGGCCUUCGGGUUGUAAACAUCUUUAACCAGGGACGAAGCGCAAGUGACGGUACCUGGAGAAGAAGCACCGGCCAACUACGUG
Molecule: ribosomal RNA, 462 nt
Filed under: uncultured bacterium
Lineage: Bacteria
Description: partial 16S ribosomal RNA
Rfam family: Bacterial small subunit ribosomal RNA
Source: RNAcentral